This 186-nucleotide ribosomal RNA is filed under the name uncultured haloarchaeon. RNAcentral's name for it is "partial 16S ribosomal RNA". It matches the Rfam family "Archaeal small subunit ribosomal RNA", at positions 1159 to 1341 of the family's 1478-position model. Lineage: Archaea; Methanobacteriati; Methanobacteriota; Halobacteria; Halobacteriales; Halobacteriaceae. The record is from RNAcentral.
AAUGUUCUGGGCUACCCCCGGGCUACAAUGGUCGAAACAAUGGGUUGCAACCCCCAAAGGGGGCACCAAUCUCCGAAACUCGAUCGUAGUUCGGAUUGAGGGCUGAAACUCGCCCUCAUGAAGCUGGAUUCGGUAGUAAUCGCGCUUCACCAGAGCGCGGUGAAUACUUCCCUGCUCCUUGCAAAA